This 497-nucleotide ribosomal RNA is filed under the name uncultured bacterium. Its description in RNAcentral is "partial 16S ribosomal RNA". It matches the Rfam family "Bacterial small subunit ribosomal RNA", at positions 28 to 507 of the family's 1533-position model. The record is from RNAcentral.
GACGAACGCUGGCGGCGUGCCUAAUACAUGCAAGUUGAGCGCUGAAGGUUGGUACUUGUACCAACUGGAUGAGCAGCGAACGGGUGAGUAACGCGUGGGGAAUCUGCCUUUGAGCGGGGGACAACAUUUGGAAACGAAUGCUAAUACCGCAUAAAAACUUUAAACACAAGUUCUAAGUUUGAAAGAUGCAAUUGCAUCACUCAAAGAUGAUCCCGCGUUGUAUUAGCUAGUUGGUGAGGUAAAGGCUCACCAAGGCGAUGAUACAUAGCCGACCUGAGAGGGUGAUCGGCCACAUUGGGACGGAGACACGGCCCAAACUCCUACGGGAGGCAGCAGUAGGGAAUCUUCGGCAAUGGACGAAAGUCUGACCGAGCAACGCCGCGUGAGUGAAGAAGGUUUUCGGAUCGUAAAACUCUGUUGGUAGAGAAGAACGUUGGUGAGAGUGGAAAGCUCAUCAAGUGACGGUAACUACCCAGAAAGGGACGGCUAACUACGUG